RNAcentral lists this non-coding RNA (95 nucleotides) under Candidatus Nomuraibacteriota. The record is from RNAcentral.
UUCAUGUUUGGGGAAGUGAGGUGAGAAUCCUCCACAGUGCCGCUACGGUAAUCCAAGGCUCUAAAGCCAAGGAAAGUCCGAAUACCAAUCAUGAA